GUAGUCGGAUUCACAUCGAUCCACGUGUGUUGAGGUGGAUUGGAGUGGAAUUUGAACUAAAUUACACCCUAAUCCACACCAACACACAUGGAUUGAAGUGAAUCCGACA
Molecule: microRNA precursor, 109 nt
Organism: Sorghum bicolor (sorghum)
Lineage: Eukaryota; Viridiplantae; Streptophyta; Magnoliopsida; Poales; Poaceae
Rfam family: MIR5565 microRNA precursor family
Source: Rfam